GUUUUAAUAAUUUAAAAAAAAUAAUGGUCUUGUAAAUCAUAAAUAGAUUAUAUUCUUUAAAACU
Molecule: transfer RNA, 64 nt
Filed under: Aphrophora sp. EMHAU-2015-Zz062722
Lineage: Eukaryota; Metazoa; Arthropoda; Insecta; Hemiptera; Aphrophoridae
Description: tRNA-Thr
Source: RNAcentral